CCUACGGGAGGCAGCAGUGGGGAAUAUUGGACAAUGGGUGAAAGCCUGAUCCAGCCAUGCCGCGUGUGUGAAGAAGGCCUUCGGGUUGUAAAGCACUUUCAGUGGGGAAGAAAGCCUUGGGGCUAAUACCCUCGAGGAAGGACAUCACCCACAGAAGAAGCACCGGCUAACUCCGUGCCAGCAGCCGCGGUAAUACGGAGGGUGCGAGCGUUAAUCGGAAUUACUGGGCGUAAAGCGCGCGUAGGCGGUCUGAUAAGCCGGUUGUGAAAGCCCCGGGCUCAACCUGGGAACGGCAUCCGGAACUGUCAGGCUAGAGUGCAGGAGAGGAAGGUAGAAUUCCCGGUGUAGCGGUGAAAUGCGUAGAGAUCGGGAGGAAUACCAGUGGCGAAGGCGGCCUUCUGGACUGACACUGACGCUGAGGUGCGAAAGCGUGGGUAGCAAACAGGAUUAGAUACCCCGGUAGUC
RNAcentral lists this ribosomal RNA (465 nucleotides) under Vreelandella stevensii. RNAcentral's name for it is "partial 16S ribosomal RNA". It matches the Rfam family "Bacterial small subunit ribosomal RNA", at positions 338 to 795 of the family's 1533-position model. The record is from RNAcentral. Lineage: Bacteria; Pseudomonadati; Pseudomonadota; Gammaproteobacteria; Oceanospirillales; Halomonadaceae.